AUUGAACGCUGGCGGCAGGCCUAACACAUGCAAGUCGAACGAGUGGCGGACGGGUGAGAAAUGUCUGGGAAACUGCCUGAUGGAGGGGGAUAAAUACUGGAACCGGUAGCUAAUACCGCAAACCAUCAGAUGUGCCCAGAUGGGAUUAGCUAGUUGGUGGGGUAACGGCUCACAAAGGCGACGAUCCCUAGCGGGUCUGAGAGGUUGACCACCCACACUGGAACUGAGACACGGUCCAGACUCCUACGGGAGGCAGCAGUGGGGAAUAGUGCGCAAGGGGCGCAAGCCUGAUGCAGCCAUGCCGCGUGUAUGAAGAAGGCCUUCGGGUUGUAAAGUACUUUCAGCGGGGAGGCGUUACCCGCAGAAGAAGCACCGGCUAACUCCGUGCCAGCCGCCGCGGUAAUUC
This 406-nucleotide ribosomal RNA is filed under the name uncultured bacterium. RNAcentral describes it as "partial 16S ribosomal RNA". It matches the Rfam family "Bacterial small subunit ribosomal RNA", at positions 30 to 526 of the family's 1533-position model. The record is from RNAcentral.